Molecule: ribosomal RNA, 495 nt
Filed under: uncultured bacterium
Lineage: Bacteria
Description: partial 16S ribosomal RNA
Rfam family: Bacterial small subunit ribosomal RNA
Source: RNAcentral
GACGAACGCUGGCGGCGUGCCUAAUACAUGCAAGUAGAACGCUGAAGGAGGAGCUUGCUUCUCCGGAUGAGUUGCGAACGGGUGAGUAACGCGUAGGUAACCUGCCUGGUAGCGGGGGAUAACUAUUGGAAACGAUAGCUAAUACCGCAUAACAGUAGAUAUUGCAUGAUAUCUGCUUGAAAGGUGCAAUUGCAUCACUACCAGAUGGACCUGCGUUGUAUUAGCUAGUUGGUGAGGUAACGGCUCACCAAGGCGACGAUACAUAGCCGACCUGAGAGGGUGAUCGGCCACACUGGGACUGAGACACGGCCCAGACUCCUACGGGAGGCAGCAGUAAGGAAUCUUCGGCAAUGGACGGAAGUCUGACCGAGCAACGCCGCGUGAGUGAAGAAGGUUUUCGGAUCGUAAAGCUCUGUUGUAAGAGAAGAACGAGUGUGAGAGUGGAAAGUUCACACUGUGACGGUAUCUUACCAGAAAGGGACGGCUAACUACGUG